UUUUUUAUGGUGUAACUUCAAACACAUUACAUUUUCGAUGUAAAGAUGAAGAUAUUUAUCUCUUCUAAAAAUG
RNAcentral lists this transfer RNA (73 nucleotides) under Panulirus cygnus (western rock lobster). RNAcentral's name for it is "tRNA-Glu". It matches the Rfam family "tRNA". From Rfam's summary of the family: Transfer RNA (tRNA) molecules are approximately 80 nucleotides in length. Their secondary structure includes four short double-helical elements and three loops (D, anti-codon, and T loops). The record is from RNAcentral. Lineage: Eukaryota; Metazoa; Arthropoda; Malacostraca; Decapoda; Palinuridae.